RNAcentral lists this ribosomal RNA (878 nucleotides) under uncultured bacterium. RNAcentral's name for it is "bacterial SSU rRNA". It matches the Rfam family "Bacterial small subunit ribosomal RNA", at positions 8 to 916 of the family's 1533-position model. The record is from RNAcentral.
AGAGUUUGAUCCUGGCUCAGGAUGAACGCUGGCGGCGUGCCUAACACAUGCAAGUCGAGCGAUUUACUUCGGUAAAGAGCGGCGGACGGGUGAGUAACGCGUGGGUAACCCGCCUCAUACACAUGGAUAACAUACCGAAAGGUAUGCUAAUACAGGAUAAUAUAAGAGAUUCACAUGGAUUUUUUAUCAAAGCUCCGGCGGUAUGAGAUGGACCCGCGUCUGAUUAGCUAGUUGGUAAGGUAAUGGCUUACCAAGGCGACGAUCAGUAGCCGACCUGAGAGGGUGAUCGGCCACAUUGGAACUGAGACACGGUCCAAACUCCUACGGGAGGCAGCAGUGGGGAAUAUUGCACAAUGGGCGAAAGCCUGAUGCAGCAACGCCGCGUGAGUGAUGAAGGCCUUCGGGUCGUAAAACUCUGUCCUCAAGGAAGAUAAUGACGGUACUUGAGGAGGAAGCCCCGGCUAACUACGUGCCAGCAGCCGCGGUAAUACGUAGGGGGCUAGCGUUAUCCGGAAUUACUGGGCGUAAAGGGUGCGUAGGUGGUUUUUUAAGUCAGAAGUGAAAGGCUACGGCUCAACCGUAGUAAGCUUUUGAAACUGAGAAACUUGAGUGCAGGAGAGGAGAGUAGAAUUCCUAGUGUAGCGGUGAAAUGCGUAGAUAUUAGGAGGGAUACCAGUUGCGAAGGCGGCUCUCUGGACUGUAACUGACACUGAGGCACGAAAGCGUGGGGAGCAAACAGGAUUAGAUACCCUGGUAGUCCACGCCGUAAACGAUGAGUACUAGUGUCGGGGGUUACCCCCCUCGGUGCCGCAGCUAACGCAUUAAGUACUCCGCCUGGGAAGUACGCUCGCAAGAGUGAAACUCAAAGGAAUUGACGG